Molecule: transfer RNA, 76 nt
Filed under: Caulobacter virus Karma
Lineage: Duplodnaviria; Heunggongvirae; Uroviricota; Caudoviricetes; Jeanschmidtviridae
Also listed under: 6 other names
Description: tRNA-Ile
Rfam family: tRNA
About the family: Transfer RNA (tRNA) molecules are approximately 80 nucleotides in length.
Source: RNAcentral
GCAAGUGUAGCUCAGUUGGUAGAGCAGCGGACCGAUAAUCCGCCCGUCCCUGGUUCGAGUCCAGGCAUUUGCACCA